AUUAAGAAGCCAUCCACACCGGCUAUUAUCAACUCUGGACACUGUCUGAAAGGCAUUUUUUUUCUUUGCGAUGAAAUGCGUAAUAUAUUUGAUGCUGACGGCUGAAGCACCUCAGAAUUAAGCAGGACUUUGCCCGCCGAGAGGCAAGAUGACUUGCUACGAACACUGGUAAGAUGAAGAAGACACCAAUCUUUUUUUUCUUGUGGGGGUAGACGACACCAAUCUUGAUGUGGUAUCGACGAUGCAAAAGAAAAACAUGUUUUAGCUGUAAUUUCUGUUCAUGAUAGGUAAUACAAACCAACCUGUAUCAAGUUUGCAACUCAAUCAAGAAUUAACAGAUGGAGAGGAUUAUCUUUUAUUGCUGCAUUAAACUCAAGAGCAUUAUGCAAUCUCGCCGUUUGCCGUGGCUAUUGGCUAUUGGACAUGGGAGUCCCUGGGCAAGUUGACAGCGAAGUCCAUGUUUUUCCAUGAUUAAGAUCGCAGCUGGGAAUGGUCAGCGUGUGCUCUUCUGGCGGAUAGGUGGAUCCAUGUUUUUUUACGCAUAGGCUUAGCUGCCGAAAGCAGGAUCCGGGAGAUUGAAGAAUUCUCUGUGGAGGGAGGACCUUUAUCAUGGAAGCGUUUCGCCAAGGACUACUAAAUAAACAAGAACAAGAAUGCAGAGUAAAUAUUCAUGGGUGAUGGCAUUCCCUUGGCUUGUUCCAAGCUUGGGGGAGUGCCCGGUAUCUUUAUCUUUUAUCUUUUGUGGUCAAGUUUAGUGUUGUACCAUGUCUAGGGAAGUUAUCUUAUGAAAUAGGUGUUUGCACUAAGGUCUAUCACUCCUUUGUGGAGAGUCUUGUAUCCGUGAGCGUGCAGUGUCGAUGAUGGAAUAUUAAUGAGAAGUCUGCUGGUUUCUUUACUGCAUUUGGUAUUCUCUUCAUGCAAUCGACUUUAUAUGUUGAUUCAUAUGGGAGUAUUGAUCUUAUAUAUCAG
RNAcentral lists this long non-coding RNA (969 nucleotides) under Hordeum vulgare. Its description in RNAcentral is "long non-coding RNA (HVUL_LNC013307)". The record is from RNAcentral. Lineage: Eukaryota; Viridiplantae; Streptophyta; Magnoliopsida; Poales; Poaceae.